GCCUCUCCGGUGCUUGGUGCGGCUGCUUCAAACCCACGGGGGGCAGCGG
Molecule: transfer RNA, 49 nt
Filed under: Crustomastix stigmatica
Lineage: Eukaryota; Viridiplantae; Chlorophyta; Mamiellophyceae; Dolichomastigales; Crustomastigaceae
Description: partial Selenocysteine transfer RNA
Source: RNAcentral